Molecule: ribosomal RNA, 253 nt
Filed under: uncultured bacterium
Lineage: Bacteria
Description: partial 16S ribosomal RNA
Rfam family: Bacterial small subunit ribosomal RNA
Source: RNAcentral
UACGAGGGGGGCAAGCGUUGUUCGGAAUUAUUGGGCGUAAAGGGUGCGUAGGCGGUUAUUUAAGUCAGGUGUGAAAGCCCCGGGCUCAACCUGGGAAUUGCAUUUGAGACUGAAUAGCUAGGGUGCGGAAGAGGGAAGCGGAAUUUCCGGUGUAGCGGUGAAAUGCGUAGAUAUCGGAAGGAACACCAGUGGCGAAAGCGGCUUCCUGGUCCAGCACCGACGUUCAGGCACGAAAGCGUGGGGAGCAAACAGG